UCACCGGACACGGGGUGCCCCGCCAGGGGCUGAGAUCACACCCGUCGAACCUGAACCAGCUCGUACUGGCGGAGGGAUGUCUUCCAUGUCAUUG
Molecule: non-coding RNA, 94 nt
Filed under: Streptomyces sp.
Lineage: Bacteria; Bacillati; Actinomycetota; Actinomycetes; Kitasatosporales; Streptomycetaceae
Also listed under: 1 other name
Description: TPP sequence
Rfam family: TPP riboswitch aptamer (THI element)
About the family: Vitamin B(1) in its active form thiamin pyrophosphate (TPP) is an essential coenzyme that is synthesised by coupling of pyrimidine and thiazole moieties in bacteria.
Source: RNAcentral